RNAcentral lists this unclassified non-coding RNA (429 nucleotides) under Hevea brasiliensis (rubber tree). The record is from RNAcentral. Lineage: Eukaryota; Viridiplantae; Streptophyta; Magnoliopsida; Malpighiales; Euphorbiaceae.
UUUCAUAAUUUUUUUGACAAUUUAAUUACUUGUUCGUAAUUCGAAGUUCAAGGCUUUGAGUUUUGGAAAUAGCCUUUCUGAAGAAAAGCAAUGGGAGAGUUAUUCACAAUAAAUAUCCUUGACGCCCUUUUAAUGGUUGAUAUGAGGACUUACCUUUUAAAAAGGCUUAACUAACAUGUCACUGAACUCCAAGCAGGUUGCCGAUAGACCUUUUCCUCUAAAAUUUCAUCUGGGCGCUCAUAAUUUUAGUGUAUUUGGAAGUCUGUGAACCUGAAUUGGUGUACUGUAUUUUAGCCCUUCUUUUUGAGCCAGGGUAUAAUUGAUCAAUCAAAUACAAUUUGUUUCAUUUAUUUGCUUUACCAGUUGACUACUGAUCCAAGUAACACCAAGAAAUUUCACUUUUUAGUUAUUAUGCCAACUCAAAUUUCU